UACGUAGGGGGCAAGCGUUGUCCAGAAUCAUUGGGCGUAAAGGGCGUGUAGGCGGCUCGGUAAGUCCGCUGUGAAAGUCCAGGGCUCAACCCUGGAAUGCCGGUGGAAACUGUCGAGCUAGAGUCCGGAAGAGGCGAGUGGAAUUCCUGGUGUAGCGGUGAAAUGCGCAGAUAUCAGGAGGAACACCAAUGGCGAAGGCAGCUCGCUGGGACGGGACUGACGCUGAGACGCGAAAGCGUGGGGAGCAAACAGG
Molecule: ribosomal RNA, 253 nt
Filed under: uncultured bacterium
Lineage: Bacteria
Description: partial 16S ribosomal RNA
Rfam family: Bacterial small subunit ribosomal RNA
Source: RNAcentral